GACUGUGACUAAGUGUGCAGCUUCAUGCGUUCUCCUCAUGGGCUAAAUUGAACUCUGUCUCUUCAUGAUUCCUUGCUUCUUGUCUGAUUAAUAGAUGUCAUCAGUGUUUGAACCUGACAUCUUAUUGGUCCUUCGUGCCAGAUUCCAACAAGUCUUGACGAUUCUAGCCGGGUGAGUAAAAUCAGAAGACCAUGGCACCCACAUCUCCCAUUGUGGAGCUGAUUUUCUUCACCUCGGCUGGGAUCUGACUGACGGGAAACCGAGGACAAGAGGAAGGAACGCAAAUUUCAGCUUUCCGGUGCCGGCGUUCCCAGCAGCCUCGGCCUUCCCUCGAUCGACACUCGCCUUACUCACCGCAGGCCGGACUGACUUCUUCAUACUGAGCUAUCUGCUGUCGAUACAUUUACAGCUCUGUCUGCACACAGGAGGGACAAAACAGUGUGGGGGCAGAUUGUUUCAUGUGCGACGGAAGCCUGCUGUCGACGGCUCAGCGGUUUUUCAAGCCCGAAGCGGAGAGAAGACAGGCAGCAUCAGUUCGGGACGUCAGCUCGCCCUCGAUGAUCCUCUGCACCCUCUUCUGUGCCUGGUUUUGGGGGUUCCGGGGCGGAGUCACCUGCACACACACCUGAUACCCAUUUCCUCUUGACUGCCCUUUUUCUUCCCACCGGCACAUUCGCCGAGCUCAUCAGGCGUGGCGGGAUAAAAGAGCAGCUAUGUCCCAGGAUCGUAGGCUGGCGGACCGCCACGGGAUACCAGCCCCCACCUCGCAACCUGGACAAGAGGGUGAUGGCGCCGCCUGGUGGCAGAACUCUGCAGCGUAUUCAAGGAAGUCUUUUCCUCCCCACGCCGCUAUACUUCCGUGGAGAAGAGGAGGCUUUGUCGUUUGCUGUCGGGUGUGGGAAUGUUCUCUAGCUGCAGAAAAUAGAGGAGAACUUGCACCUGCAACAAGAGAAAGAAGUGAGGACGCGUCCGCCGGCGGGUCGAGGGCGAGAUGAGGUACCUGAGCCAUGACCUCCAGGGACCAGCUGUCGUUCAUGGAGAUGGGCUGGGAGAUGUUCAUGCUGACCUUGCUGUCUUUCUCUGAAGGCCGCAGCAGAGUGGGACCAAAGACCGUGGCCAGGUUGUGUAGAGACAUCUUGUUGACACACUCCUUUUCAGACACUCUGUUACAGGGGGAACAUGCAUUAUGUUAAAGGGUUGGUAUGGACUAGACUCUCACUAUUAUGUUAGAUCCACUAUGGACUGGACUCUCACUAUUAUGUUAGAUCCACUAUGGACUGGACUCUCACUAUUAUGUUAGAUCCACUAUGGACUGGACUCUCUCACUAUUAUGUUAGAUCCACUAUGGACUGGACUCUCACUAUUAUGUUGGAUCCACUAUGGACUGGACUCUCUCACUAUUAUGUUAGAUCCACUAUGGACUGGACUCUCUCACUAUUAUGUUAGAUCCACUAUGGACUGGACUCUCUCACUAUUAUGUUAGAUCCACUAUGGACUGGACUCUCACUAUUAUGUUAGAUCCACUAUGGACUGGACUCUCACUAUUAUGUUAGAUCCACUAUGGACUGGACUCUCUCACUAUUAUGUUAGAUCCACUAUGGACUGGACUCUCACUAUUAUGUUGGAUCCACUAUGGACUGGACUCUCUCACUAUUAUGUUAGAUCCACUAUGGACUGGACUCUCUCACUAUUAUGUUAGAUCCACUAUGGACUGGACUCUCUCACUAUUAUGUUAGAUCCACUAUGGACUGGACUUUCACAAUAUUAUGUUAGAUCCACUAU
Long non-coding RNA from Nerophis ophidion (straightnose pipefish), 1782 nucleotides. RefSeq lists it as uncharacterized. NCBI's taxonomy places the organism in Eukaryota, Metazoa, Chordata, Actinopteri, Syngnathiformes, Syngnathidae. The record is from RefSeq and is a predicted model, not a curated record. The transcript is spliced from 5 exons.